GACGAACGCUGGCGGCGUGCCUAAUACAUGCCAGUAGAACGCUGAAGGAGGAGCUUGCUCUUCUGGAUGAGUUGCGAACGGGUGAGUAACGCGUAGGUAACCUGCCUGGUAGCGGGGGAUAACUAUUGGAAACGAUAGCUAAUACCGCAUAACAGUAGAUGUUGCAUGACAUUUGCUUAAAAGGUGCAAUUGCACCACUACCAGAUGGACCUGCGUUGUAUUAGCUAGUUGGUGGGGUAACGGCUCACCAAGGCGACGAUACAUAGCCGACCUGAGAGGGUGGUCGGCCAAACUGGGACUGAGACACGGCCCAGACUCCCACGGGAGGCAGCAGUAGGGAAUCUUCGGAAAUGGACGGAAGUCUGACCGAGCAACGCCGCGGGAGUGAAGAAGGUUUUCGGAUCGUAAAGCUCUGUUGUAAGAGAAGAACGAGUGUGAGAGUGGAAAGUUCAUACUGUGACGGUAUCUUACCAGAAAGGGACGGCUAACUACGUG
Molecule: ribosomal RNA, 495 nt
Filed under: uncultured bacterium
Lineage: Bacteria
Description: partial 16S ribosomal RNA
Rfam family: Bacterial small subunit ribosomal RNA
Source: RNAcentral